GACGAACGCUGGCGGCGUGCUUAACACAUGCAAGUCGAGCGGUAAGGCCUUUCGGGGUACACGAGCGGCGAACGGGUGAGUAACACGUGGGUGAUCUGCCCUGCACUCUGGGAUAAGCCUGGGAAACUGGGUCUAAUACCGGAUAUGACUCCAUGCUGCAUGGUGUGUGGUGGAAAGAUUUAUCGGUGCAGGAUGGGUCCGCGGCCUAUCAGCUUGUUGGUGGGGUAAUGGCCUACCAAGGCGACGACGGGUAGCCGACCUGAGAGGGUGACCGGCCACACUGGGGCUGAGACACGGCCCAGACUCCUACGGGAGGCAGCAGUGGGGAAUAUUGCACAAUGGGCGGAAGCCUGAUGCAGCGACGCCGCGUGAGGGAUGAAGGCCUUCGGGUUGUAAACCUCUUUCAGCAGGGACGAAGCGUGAGUGACGGUACCUGCAGAAGAAGCACCGGCUAACUACGUGCCAGCCGCCGCCGUAA
This 478-nucleotide ribosomal RNA is filed under the name uncultured bacterium. RNAcentral describes it as "partial 16S ribosomal RNA". It matches the Rfam family "Bacterial small subunit ribosomal RNA", at positions 28 to 523 of the family's 1533-position model. The record is from RNAcentral.